AUGGCACCUGGCGUCAGGCAAGUACGUGGCAGUGAAGAUCCUCCUGCAAGACGCCUCUCCCAGCAGCUCGCUGUCCGCGCAGGGGGAAGUGGUCAUCCUGAGGAGCCUGCGGCACGACAACAUCGUGCGGCUGCUGGAGGAGCGGCACACGGAGACGCACCUGUUCCUGGUCAUGGAGCUGGCGGCCAGGGGCUCGCUCUAUCACUACGUGCAGGAGCAGGGCGGCCUGGCCGAGGACGAGGCCAGGGCCCUGUUCAGCCAGGCGCUGGCUGCUGUGAGCUACUGCCAUGGUCAGCGCGUGGCACACCGGGACCUCAAGCUGGACAACCUGCUGCUGGACGAGCACAUGAACAUCAAGCUGGCGGACUUCAGGCUGAGCCUGCGGCUGGAGCAGGGCACGCUGGUAAGGGACGCCUGCGGGACUCCCGAGUACUGCGCACCAGAGGUUUUCCUCGGGGAGGCCUACGACGCAUUAAAGGCCGACGUGUGGAGUCUGGGGGUGGUGCUGUUUGCCAUGCUGGAGGCUACGCUGCUCUUCGGCGGCAAAGACUCGGAAGAGCUGCAGGACCGGGUGCUGUGGGCACCUACGUGGUGCCACGUGGCAUCAGCCCAGCCCUGCAGGAGCUGCUGGCGUGGCUGCUCACCAUCGAUGCCUCGGGGAGGCCAGUGCGGAGGACGCCAGGACCCACUCGUGGUUCGGCCCCAGCCGAGAAGCUGCCCAGGAGCACGAGGAGGACGCGGUCACCCUGCUGCAGCCCCUGGGAGUUCCCCGGGACCUGGAGGCCAGGGAGUACCUGGUGGGCCUCGGCCUGCUGCCAGGCACGGGGACCGAGGGGACGCCAGGCCCUCAGUCCCAGGACUCCACGUCCCUGCCCAAGUCCUCGCAGAACAGCAAGUGCCCCCCCCAUAGAGGACGACGGCUUGGCUCUGGUGUCAGUGUCCUGUGACAGCAUGGCCGUCAACGUUUCCUCCGCACAAAGCGACUCCUCCGAGGCCCCCAGCCAGCCACAGCAGGAGAGGAGCCCUGCUCCCAGCGCCACCCCCGACUCUUCGAGCCCUCCAGUGAGUCUUGCCCACUCCCCACAUCCCCUGCCACUUUGGGGCCUCCAGGAGCUGAGCCCAAGGCCCCGAGGUGACCCCACUCUUGACUCUUUCCUACCAGGCCAGCCACAGCAGGAGAGGAGCCCUGCUCCCAGUGCUGCCCCUGACUCCCCCAAAGUCUCCAGUGAGUCUUCCCCUCUCCCUCCCAGCCCCAGCCACCUCGGGCACUCUUGGGGCUGA
This 1281-nucleotide long non-coding RNA is filed under the name Oryctolagus cuniculus (rabbit). RNAcentral's name for it is "lncRNA (ENSOCUG00000037369.1)". Lineage: Eukaryota; Metazoa; Chordata; Mammalia; Lagomorpha; Leporidae. The record is from RNAcentral.